UACGGAGGGGGCAAGCGUUGUUCGGAGUUACUGGGCGUAAAGGGCGCGUAGGCGGUGCAACAAGUCAGGCGUGAAAGCCCCGGGCUUAACCUGGGAAUUGCGCUUGAUACUGUUGCGCUAGAGAUCGGGAGAGGAUGGCGGAAUUCCCAGUGUAGAGGUGAAAUUCGUAGAUAUUGGGAAGAACACCGGUGGCGAAGGCGGCCAUCUGGACCGCAUCUGACGCUGAGGCGCGAAAGCGUGGGGAGCAAACAGG
RNAcentral lists this ribosomal RNA (253 nucleotides) under uncultured bacterium. Its description in RNAcentral is "partial 16S ribosomal RNA". It matches the Rfam family "Bacterial small subunit ribosomal RNA", at positions 524 to 776 of the family's 1533-position model. The record is from RNAcentral.